UACAGAGGAGCCAAGCGUUGUCCGGAUUGACUGGGCGUAAAGCGCACGCAGGCGGAUGCGCGCGUGGGGUGUGAAAUCUGGCCGCUUAACGGCCAGGCGCCAUCCCAUACGGCGCGUCUGGAGUGAUGCAGAGGUCGAUGGAAUUGCCGGUGUAGUGGUGAAAUGCGUAGAGAUCGGCAGGAACACCCAGGGGGAAACCAGUCGACUGGGCAUCUACUGACGCUGAGGCACGAAAGCGUGGGGAUCAAACAGG
RNAcentral lists this ribosomal RNA (253 nucleotides) under uncultured bacterium. RNAcentral's name for it is "partial 16S ribosomal RNA". It matches the Rfam family "Bacterial small subunit ribosomal RNA", at positions 524 to 776 of the family's 1533-position model. The record is from RNAcentral.